UGAGAAAAACAAGAAGUGUAUCUUUAUGAAUUGAAUUACAAGUUACAACAUAUAUAACAUUGUGACAAAGUCAAUGUUUUCAGAUUUUGUGUAUUAACUAAAUUGAUUAUUCUCUUCAUUAAAUAUUAAUGAAAAUAAAUUAAACAAAUUUUUUAAUUAUUCUAUUUUUCAGUUCUUUAAUAAUAAUAUCUUACUGUAUUUUUAUGAGAAAAACAAGAAGUAUAUCUUUAUGAAUUGAAUUACAAGUUACAACAUGUAUAACAUUGUGACAAAGUCAAUGUUUUCAGAUUUUGUGUAUUAACUAAAUCGAUUAUUUUUUUCAUUAAUAUUGAUGAAAAUAAAUUAAAUGAAUUUAUAAUUAUUCUAUUUUUCAGUUCUUUAAUAAUAAUAUCUUACUAUAUUUUAUGAGAAAAACAAGAAGUAUAUCUUUAUGAAUUGAAUUACAAGUUACAACAUAUAUAACAUUAUGACAAAGUCAAUGUUUUCAGAUUUGUAUAUUAACUAAAUUGAUUUUUUCUUUUUGUUAAAUUAUUGACAUGUGAAUCUCUCUUUUUUUCAAAAAGAUAUUUCUGAAGUACUGUUUUCUUCUAUAAAUUUUAUGAAAAUAAAUUGAAUUAUUUUUAAUUAUUCAAUUUUUAUUUCUUUUAUUUUUUUUUUCUAUAAAAGAUUUGUUUGUUCAUUUUUCCUACCAAAGUCACAAUGUUAUUUCCAAACUGACAUAGAUUAGUUAGUUAUAAUAUUCUUUGUUUAUUUAAAUUAAACUUCUUUUAGAAAUCAUCUUUCCUUGCAACUUUUGAGGUUUUAUAGCACAUUAUUAUUCCUCUGUGAUAUUUAGUUUUCCAACUACCAUCACAAUCACAAAGAUGGACUCUUACUCAACAACCGGUCCCCCCCGCCUUCUUUUUACUCAACAACCAGAAAGUAACGCUUACUUCUAAAUGUUUGAAUGGGACGUGGAACAAAAUUGGUUCACAUUCCAAAAACAUGGAUUCCCACCUAACAUCUGCCAUUCAAACUUUCUUAGUGGUACCUGCAAUUCAACCACAAAUAAUAACUUUCCACUUGAAUCAUUAAACGUAUUCAUAUUAUAUGCUUGAAGUACGUCAAUGAUAUGGCGGACUGAAAGAGAGAUCAUGUCCAAGCGAUUCUUUUCAAAAGUAGGACACAGUAGAGAAACCAGACUAAUAAUAAUAUUGUAAGAAGAGAAUAUGAUGGUAGACUUAUAAUCUCUACAACCUUAGAGGUUUACCAACUGAUUCUUGUUAAAAUAACCUCCUAAUUAAUAUCUCCAUAUUAUAUCUGUCAUGAUUAGUAAUGGAUUCACUUAAAGACCAAUAGUUUAGAGCGCUAUGUAGACACAUGGGCGAGAAUGGCGUUGGUAGAAGCUGUAGAGAUCGAAGACAAUUUCAAUUGGUAGAAGAAAUUAAACUACUGUCUCUUUGUCUGUGUGAUAUGUCCUUAAUUAUUGUCUUAACUCCUUAUGUUCAAUAGCUUAAGAGCUACAAAGUAAUUUUAGCUGGAGCAGUCAAUUGGGUGGAUCAUAAUUUUUUUAUAAAAUAAAACAAAUCAGAUUCGUAUAAAACAAUGUGUGGCAAAAUAAAAUCUAAUAACCAUUAAAAUAUACAUUACAAGUCACUAGAGCUUUAGGUAACAACUAUAGAAACAAUGACUACUGAGUUCGAACUUAUGUUGACACCCUCCAACCAAACCAAGACUCUUUAACCACUUACAAAGGUUUGGUUAGUAGUUUGGAUAAGCAAUAUGAGUUGUGGGAAAUGAUAACUUUUCAAUAAAAACUUCUUAAUUGCUACUAUAACUUUAAAUAGGCCUAGUCCUUUAAAUGGGCCAAGUAUUAUAAUUGGGCCGUGUCCUUUAAGCAAUAUGAGUUGUGGGAAAUGAUAACUUAUGUAUCGGAGCUGCUUGAAUUGAAUCUCAGGUAGGAUCGUGAUCGGAGAGAGAGAGAGUCUGAAAAUUCCAGUGCGAAUCGGGAAUGUCUAGGGUUUCGAGAAAAUGGAUGGCGGAGGUAUAACAAUAACAUACAAGGGAGUCACUGUACACACUCCCAAGACGUGGCACGAUCUUUAUGUGGCUUUAUGUGGUUUUGGAUUGAAAAUUCUGGACAAUGGAUACGUCUUAAUUAGUAUCAUCGAGGCAAUCAAGCAGCUGUUAAUGUGAAAAUUAGGUUAUGUCUCCGGUCAGAACCAAUGUUGAGUUCAUUUAAAUAUUUUUUUUUCGUUCUGGAUUCUGUACAGAGCAAAGCAAGAUGGUCCUAUCGUCAUGGUACGACUCUCUUUUUUUUUUGCCUGUAGUCUGAUCGAAUCAUUAAAGUUCUUAUGCGGAGUUCGGUUAUCAAUAAAGAUUGAAAAAAACUUAUCAAAUGCUCGUGAUUGUGGUGAACAAAAAUAAAAAUAAAAUGCUCGUGAUUGUUUUUACGCGGAGUUCGGUUAUCAACCAAAUAUAUAGAAUUACUAUAGAUUACAGUUAAAUAAACAAAUAAGUUGGAACGAUUUCUUACUAUUCAAUCGUUCCAACUUCGUCUUAAACCGAGUGCAUGUAAUGCGGAUCUCUCUCUUCUACAAUCGUAUCUCAUUUUGUCAUUGAGUUUUCUUUGUAUAGCUUUAAUUCAUUGUCCAAAAAACUGCUUUGAUGUUUUUUUUUUUUGAUGGUUCAUGAAUACAGCUGAAUCUUCAAUUUUUGAUUAUAGAUCUGAAGUUAUCCAUCUUUUUUUUCUUUUCCUAUUCUAAGCUUCGUUUGCAUCACUGCUUCAGUUUGCAUAAUACACAAAGUGAGUAGUGUUUAAUGCUUCUAUUUACACGAAUCAGUUAACUUCUCAGUCGGGUCUUUCCCCGAGAGAUUCCACGUGUUGUCUUUGUUUUCCUGAUCAGAAACGCAAGCCUAAGCUCUACCUGAUGCACGCCGCUUCCAAGGAGCUGAAAAUUCGUGCUACUUCCAGCGUUUCUGAACUUCAAAAGUCUACUUCAAGUAGCGAUGUUAACAUGACGGCAGAGUUUGAGUUGGAGUUGCAAGAGUUGUUCAAUGAUGUCAAAUCCAUGGUUAAGAUUGGGGUGAGAGUGACGCAAUGGACCUUCUCCGAGCUAAUUACGUUGCUGUCAAAGAAGAGAUCGAUUCGGGCUUGAAAGGUGUCGAACAAGGUGCUCUUCUGGACAUAAUUGCCUUAGGGUUUAUGGCUGAGACUUAAACCUCUUCCUGCAUUGCUUGAUAUGAUAAAUAAGAUUGUUGAUAAGUUAAGGGACAACAAAGACGAGAUUGACAUGUCAUUUCUUGUUGCUACUCGCUGGAUAGUACCCGCUGAUGUUGCAGCUAGUGUUAUAGUGCUACUAAGCAUAUGGAGAAUCCGGCAGAGGAAUGCGUAGGAGGAGAAGAGCAUAUGGGAGGAGAAGAGCAUAUGGGUCGAAUCGUUUAGCCUAGCAUAUAGCCGUGUCUAGGACUAGUCGAUUUUGCGUGGUAGAGCUUCAGCUACCCUACCCGUUAGCUUUUUUUUACUGUCAUUUACACGACCACUGAAAUGUAAUUUCACUUUUACAUUUCUAGUAGGACUGGGAAUUUUGUUUCAAGAUAUCAGUUUUCGUAAACCUCAUUUUAUGAAUAGAAAAAUAAGUUUUGAGAAA
Long non-coding RNA from Brassica rapa (field mustard), 3629 nucleotides. RefSeq lists it as uncharacterized. Lineage: Eukaryota; Viridiplantae; Streptophyta; Magnoliopsida; Brassicales; Brassicaceae. The record is from RefSeq and is a predicted model, not a curated record.